UACGUAGGGGCGAGCGUUGUCCGGAAUGAUUGGGCGUAAAGGGCGCGCAGGCGGCCAUUCAAGUCAGUAGUGGAAGUCCAUUUUUCAAGGGUGGAAGUGCUAUUGAAACUGCAUGGCUUGAGUGCGGGAGAGGUUAUCGGAAUUCCCGGUGUAGCGGUGAAAUGCGUAGAGAUCGGUAGGAACACCAGUGGCGAAGGCGGGUAACUGGACCGCAACUGACGCUGAGGCGCGAAAGUGUGGGGAGCAAACAGGAUUAGAUACCCUGGUAGU
This 270-nucleotide ribosomal RNA is filed under the name uncultured prokaryote. RNAcentral's name for it is "partial 16S ribosomal RNA". It matches the Rfam family "Bacterial small subunit ribosomal RNA", at positions 524 to 794 of the family's 1533-position model. The record is from RNAcentral.